UAAUAUGAUGCAAUACAGCAGAAUUUUCACUGAAAUGCAGGGGAAGCAUUUUCUUCAGGCUGAGCUACAAACAAAAUUGAUCUGAUUCAUUCUGCACUACAGCACGGCUGGAGUCUACCGGAGUGAAGUCAAACUCUGGAUAUGUUGUCGCGACUUUUCGUGGCCAGAGACUCUAAAAUAUGAGAUUAAAUGGAGUCAUGAUAAUAAAAAAAUCCUUGUAUGCCUCCCUUCUAGAGUGUCCACAUGACCGCAUAUUUGAGAGCCUAUUUCCUCUCGCACUGCUGGUUUGGCGCUGUCCUGCAGACAAACACUGGUUAGUGAAAACAGUCUAUUUGAGUGGAUACUCUGUUUAGACACAGCAAAUGAGUUCACUCAGUUCAAAGCUAAUAAACCCAACACCAGUCGUCGCAGCUGCCCACCUGUGAUGCCCUAAGGAUGACGGAGAGAAAGGCCAGUGAAACCUCAGAUUCUCUCUGGUCCAGUACAUGCUUGGCACACCGUCUGCCAGCACCAGACCUAUCCCUUUCUGCCCAGUCGUGCAUUGGCAGCACAGCCGGUUGAAUAACUUUAUCUACUAAACCGUUUGGCGCUCGAGCUCAGUCGCUGAUUGAUCUGCAUGGAAACAGUCCGACGACACACGCAGGGAGCAGGGCCGUUUCUACGACUUGAGGACAUCGGGGGCUUUGGCCCACACCUCCCUGGGGGGGGGGGAUCCUCUCUCGAAAUAAAAUGAACAAGCUCUAUUGAAAUGCUCUCCCAUGC
Molecule: long non-coding RNA, 762 nt
Organism: Scophthalmus maximus (turbot)
Lineage: Eukaryota; Metazoa; Chordata; Actinopteri; Pleuronectiformes; Scophthalmidae
Exons: 3
Source: RefSeq, a predicted model, not a curated record